RNA transcript from Puntigrus tetrazona (Sumatra barb), 3366 nucleotides. It is a transcript of the gene named adhesion G protein-coupled receptor F3b, with no coding region annotated. The record is from RefSeq and is a predicted model, not a curated record. The transcript has 19 exons. Lineage: Eukaryota; Metazoa; Chordata; Actinopteri; Cypriniformes; Cyprinidae.
CCCCACUGCAUUCGUCAACUUUCCUUAAUUCUCAUUCAGCACCACCUUUCACUCUGGAAACUGGUUCACAGGGAACAUGUUGUUAUGACAGAUAACAUUGCCUAAAACUUGCUGAUCCUCGCUUUUAAAAUGAAGAUUGUAAGGAUCAAGACACUGUCUGGUGCAGGAAUGCUGCUUUUUGCUGCACUUUUCAUUUUUAGCCAACAGACUUCAUAUGUGGCUUCCACAGACGUGACCCAUUGGGCAGAGGUCAUGAUUGAGGGGAAUAAAACAUUAAAUGUUGCAGUCUAUCUGCCUGGACUUAUAGGGACUGUUUUGGAUACAACAGGAGUAACUAUCACAAACGCUGAAAUAGCAGCAGAGUGUGAGAUAAUCGGCCAAAAUUCAACAUGCUGGUGUGGACCGGAAUAUGUUUGGAGCAAUCUUGUGUGUGACAAUGUGAAUAAAUGCUGCAAUGUGGACAAAUGUGUGGCAAAUAUUUCAUACUACACACCUCUGUGUUUGCCAAAAGUGAACGUUUCACUUAUUGGUGUACUCACUGGGAGCUCCUCAAAUGUCCAAAGCAUGUUGCUGAGUGCUUUUAAUGUGCUUAAUGCCUUCAACUCAUUGACUUUGGAUGGCACCCUCUACACAGGGUUAAAUACUUAUGCUCACAAUUUCACAGUCUCUCUUAGCUCUGUGUUUGCCACCCCCAAAGUUCAAGGCAUAAUUUCUACGCUGUUGACAAAUCCAACCAUUUACAGCCUCAGUCUCAAGUCACUAGGCAUGGUAUAUAUGGAGGCACCUACAGGAAAAAUAUGUUAUAAUUCAAAACAACAGCUGAACUGUACCAGUAUAGAGGCUAUGAGCAAGUGUGUGUGGCAGAUGUCCAGAGAGAGUGAAGCAACGUUGACUCUGGGACCAGGAAGUGAAAUACAGUUGUCAGAUACUUGUACAGAGCUCUCAACAGUCACACUUCUAAAGACAAAUGGAUACUGGUCAGGAACAUACAUCUGCCUUUUCGUCACUGGGAACAUAGCUCACAUGGCCAUGGCACCUAUUCAAAUUGCACUUCUGCCGGAGGUCAUUAAUGUGACAAGCAAUCCACAAACUGCAGAUUGUUCCGCAUCGCCAUCCACCAAAGUUGUCAUCUUGUGUUCCAUCGAAAACAGCACUGAAACCUACAAAGCCACGCUAAAACUCGGAACUGUUGAAAUUGCACCAGCUAAAGAAGAGAACAAUGGAAUAAUCAAAUAUACAGCAGAAUUCACUGUUGAUUGUAUGGCAGACGGCAAACCAAGUUCACUUGAGGCCAGCUGCACUUUAGAGAACACUUUGAACCAGCUGCGAAAUCGCACAAUAAGAGUACCAAUUAUUUACCCCAGUGACCUGUUUUGUGCAGAGGACGAAGUUGAAGAUAGAAAAUGGCCUAAAACAAAGAAUAAUGAAACAGCCGUUAUAGAUUGCACUGCAGUAGGGAGACAGGGCUCAAUGAAACGCAAAUGCAACGGGAGAAAAUGGGGGGAUGAACUCUCUCUGUGUGUCAAAGCAGUCCUGAAUAGUGUAGCUUUGCAAGCAAAGGAUUUUGAAAAAGGACUUGGAGCAACACAAGAAGGUGCUCAGUUUAUCUUUCAGAGCUUGAAAAAUAACACAUCUGAAGAGGGUGACAACACUUUUGGUGACGUCAAGACUGCAGUUUCUGUUUUUGAAACUAUGAACAAGGCAUCAAUAAACAUGGCACUAGGCGAGAACCUUCUUCCAGAUUUCAUCGACUCAGCUAGCAGCAUGUUGAACGUAACCUGGGAAGUGGGAGAUGAGGAAGAGAGCAGCACACUGGCUUCACAAUAUCUGUCAUCCGUAGAAGGCCUCGUGAAAAGCAUCCGAAUAAAUGCUAGUGAGGGCUACAACUCCUCAAACAUUCAGCUUCAGAUCUGCCGAAGCGGCAACACUUGCAACAAAACUGUUUUCAACGUGGACGUUGAGCUGAAUGCCACAGCAGAUAUGGUGAAAACGGUAGGAUUGCAGAGCUUGGCCAACCGCAUGCCAAAACUGGGCUACGAGGAUGCGACGUUUCCUAGCAUAGUGGUAUCCAGCACUGUUGAGAACAACACUCAGCCGUCGGUGAACAUCAAACUGGCUUUUCCAAAUGAAGGCGACAGCCAGGUCACGAUGACCUGCGUGUUCUGGAACGUCACUGAGCAAAGAUGGUCAGAUGAGGGCUGCGAGGUCGUUAAAGGCUCCGGGAACGUCGCCACCUGUGAAUGCAACCAUCUCACCUCCUUCUCCAUGCUCAUGUCUAAGCAUUCAGUAAGCAUGCCUUUUCUAGAUCAGCUCACGUACGUGGGACUGGGAGUCUCCAUAUGCUCUCUCAUCGUCUACAUCAUCAUCGAGUGUUUGGUCUGGAGCGCCGUAGUCAAAUCCAACCUCUCCCACUUCCGUCACACAGCUCUCCUCAACAUCUCUCUGUGUCUGCUUCUGGCAGACUGCAGCUUCUUAGCUUCCUCCUUCCCAUCAAUCCUAAAUGAAACCUUGUGUCUUGUUCUGGUGGUGGCGAAGCAUUACUUCUUCCUUGCCAUGUUUUUUUGGAUGCUGUGUCUGAGCGUCAUGUUGGUCCACCAGCUCAUUUUCGUCUUUAGCCACAUUGGGAAAAAGGUGUACAUGAUCCUCGGAUUCACCAUCGGUUACGUUUGUCCGACAGUGACUGUUGCUGUUACGUACGUGUACUACGACCAAGCAAGCAACAUCCCGUACUACAGCUCCAAAACGUGCUGGCUUACCUAUCAAUCAGCUCUGCAGGGAUCCAUCCACGCAUUUCUCUUCCCAGUCGGGACCAUCAUUCUGGUGAACUUGUUUUCCAUGGGGGUGGUCAUCGCAAACGUCUUAAAGCCGUCUGGAGCUGAGAGCAACAAAAAGGGAGACAAAGAAGCUGUGAAAAGCAUCAUCAAAGUGGUUAUCUUUCUUACACCAGUUUUUGGUGGGACUUGGGUUCUGGGACUUUUUGUGUUUCUGAUGGAUGACUUUACACAGUUUAUUACAUAUGUGGUGCAUUACGCAUUCACCAUUGUCAACUCCUUGCAGGGCUUCUUCAUCUUGUUGACAGGAUGUUUUGCAGAAAAAAGGGUCCGGGAUGAAAUAUUGAGAAUAGUUCUUGGGAAAUCAGGAAAAGAACAAGGAACAGUAACAACCACAAAAUAACUGAUUCACACAAACACGCAAGCAGUUCUAUAGAAGACAAGAGUCAUUAUUCAACUCAGUACAUUGAUCCGCCUGAGAAGCCACAGCAGCAACAAAAACAGGAGAGGGAGCGCUGUUUGGUGAAGAACUAAAAGUACUUCUUGUACUUUAAAAGACUUAAUACACAUUUGGAACAAAGUAUAGGCUGUGGUC